This 904-nucleotide long non-coding RNA is filed under the name Gossypium barbadense (sea-island cotton). RNAcentral's name for it is "long non-coding RNA (GBAR_LNC010069)". Lineage: Eukaryota; Viridiplantae; Streptophyta; Magnoliopsida; Malvales; Malvaceae. The record is from RNAcentral.
ACGGAUAGACCAUAUAAGGCACUAAAAAAAAACGCAACGCCUUGGCAUGAAAGACCUGGUUUGACCCUUUUUCUCCAGUAAUUUGCACACUACACUGUUAAUUUUCCAUCUUUCUCAACUCUCCAUUAGUGACCAACAUGUAUAGGAAUUUAUAAAUUACACCGAAUACAUUGAUAGCAUUAAUCAUAGAAUUUUUUUUAAAAUUCACUAUCUCUAAAAGUUACAACAAUGAAGUUGCCUUUUUCAUCGCCUUUCUGAAGACCAACUGCAAAGAAACCAACCGAAGACAACCACAAAGAGAAAGAGAUCAGAGAAAAGCAAGGAUUGCAAUGAUGGGGAAGGAGGUCCUCGUCGACCAGCAAGGGGCAUCGUCAUCAGGGACCAACAACCGCCAAGUAGUAACAGAUCUAGAGAAGCUCAACAAGGCAAUUCUGAUGAUCUCCUGACUCAGACCAUAGUUUCUCUCGCAUGAAUUCCAUUGCUAACGCUUUGUAUUCUCUUAAUUUUCAGCUCCUGCUCCAGGACAGUCUGCAGGACCAGUUCGAGAUCAAGGGAUGGUUGGCCUACAGAAUCAAGAGGGAAAGGCUUACUCAGGUCCAUAUAUAACUAUGAAAUCCACACCUUAAGAGGUUAAUCCAUUUUGAGACCUAUCUUAAGUUUUAUGAAGACAUUAAUGAAGCUGCUUUUCGUUUCAUCACCUUUCUGAAGAUCGUGACUUACCGUUGAAGAAAAGAAUGAGUGUAAGAGCAAUAGUGGAUGGCAAUGGUGGCAAUCAGGAAGGAGCCCCAGUGGCAGAGAGUAAUCCACCACCAUCGGCUCAGCAACGCUAUAGACGGGACCACGCAGCGAAAGGAAAAGAGCAUCGGGCUUUAUAGAUUAUGGAUUACUUUGCUUGAUAAAUAAC